Molecule: ribosomal RNA, 406 nt
Filed under: Rhizobium sp. R-45724=1436
Lineage: Bacteria; Pseudomonadati; Pseudomonadota; Alphaproteobacteria; Hyphomicrobiales; Rhizobiaceae
Description: bacterial SSU rRNA
Rfam family: Bacterial small subunit ribosomal RNA
Source: RNAcentral
CCUGGCUCAGAACGAACGCUGGCGGCAGGCUUAACACAUGCAAGUCGAGCGCUGUAGCAAUACAGAGCGGCAGACGGGUGAGUAACGCGUGGGAAUCUACCCAUCCCUACGGAACAACUCCGGGAAACUGGAGCUAAUACCGUAUACGCCCUUCGGGGGAAAGAUUUAUCGGGGAUGGAUGAGCCCGCGUUGGAUUAGCUAGUUGGUGGGGUAAAGGCCUACCAAGGCGACGAUCCAUAGCUGGUCUGAGAGGAUGAUCAGCCACAUUGGGACUGAGACACGGCCCAAACUCCUACGGGAGGCAGCAGUGGGGAAUAUUGGACAAUGGGCGCAAGCCUGAUCCAGCCAUGCCGCGUGAGUGAUGAAGGUCUUAGGAUUGUAAAGCUCUUUCACCGGAGAAGAUAAU